This is a long non-coding RNA of Ixodes scapularis (black-legged tick), 519 nucleotides long. RefSeq lists it as uncharacterized. The record is from RefSeq and is a predicted model, not a curated record. The transcript has 4 exons. NCBI's taxonomy places the organism in Eukaryota, Metazoa, Arthropoda, Arachnida, Ixodida, Ixodidae.
CUGGGGUGUGGAAGGAAUACUCGGCACGAUGACAGCGAGAUGGAGUCGCCUGCUGACAGCAUUCUGCCAAACCUUGCGGAGCAAGACGGCCCAGUGCAACAAGAGGAGCCAAGAGACCAGCAGCAGCAGCUGAUCAACAAAGCAAGGUGAACAAUCUCUAGUUAUUAUAAAACUGUCUUACACUAUUUCGUUCCAUCAGGCCACAUUCAAGCGGAUCCAACAUGCAGGACCCUGUUAGCACCUGCGUAAAUCUUUUGGAGGAGAUACGGGAGAGGCGUGCGAGGAAGGCAGGUGGCUUCGAAGAUCCAGUUCAUCACUUCUGUGCGUCCCUUGCCGGGAGAAUAAGGACACUUCACGAUACAAAACAAAUUGAGAUAAUGCAUGAUAUCGAGGAUCUGAUUUACAAAGCUCAGCGGGAGCAUUUCUACGGCCCAGACUACUGAGUGCCAAACUAAUAAAGUGUGAAAAAGAGACUUCUUGUUCUAAGUCAGUUGUCACAAGGCCCCAUGACCAUCUUGU